This 268-nucleotide ribosomal RNA is filed under the name uncultured bacterium. Its description in RNAcentral is "partial 16S ribosomal RNA". It matches the Rfam family "Bacterial small subunit ribosomal RNA", at positions 506 to 776 of the family's 1533-position model. The record is from RNAcentral.
GUCCAGCAGCGGUAAUACGUAGGGUGCAAGCGUUAAUCGGAAUUACUGGGCGUAAAGCGUGCGCAGGCGGUUUUGUAAGUCUGACGUGAAAUCCCCGGGCUCAACCUGGGAAUUGCGUUGGAGACUGCAAGGCUAGAAUCUGGCAGAGGGGGGUAGAAUUCCACGUGUAGCAGUGAAAUGCGUAGAGAUGUGGAGGAACACCGAUGGCGAAGGCAGCCCCCUGGGUCAAGAUUGACGCUCAUGCACGAAAGCGUGGGGAGCAACAGGG